This 169-nucleotide ribosomal RNA is filed under the name Lophodermium agathidis. Its description in RNAcentral is "5.8S ribosomal RNA". It matches the Rfam family "5.8S ribosomal RNA". Rfam says of the family: 5.8S ribosomal RNA (5.8S rRNA) is a component of the large subunit of the eukaryotic ribosome. It is transcribed by RNA polymerase I as part of the 45S precursor that also contains 18S and 28S rRNA. Lineage: Eukaryota; Fungi; Ascomycota; Leotiomycetes; Rhytismatales; Rhytismataceae. RNAcentral also lists the same sequence under 1 other name. The record is from RNAcentral.
AAACUUUCAACAACGGAUCUCUUGGUUCUGGCAUCGAUGAAGAACGCAGCGAAAUGCGAUAAGUAAUGUGAAUUGCAGAAUUCAGUGAAUCAUCGAAUCUUUGAACGCACAUUGCGCCCUUUGGUAUUCCGAAGGGCAUGCCUGUUCGAGCGUCAUUACAACCCUCAAG